CUCUCGCGAGAUUUGGUGCGCUGAGGGGAAGGGCGGCGGCGCGGGAAGAUGGCGGGUGGGGUGAGGGCAGGGCUCGGUGAGGGGAUGGCUCGGUGUGUGCGGCUCCUUCAGCCGCCCUCGGGCUCCCUCGCCGCCCCACAGCGCGGGGAGCCUCGCAGGGAGGCCACGCGCAGGGUUCUGGCUGGAUAUGGCCGCCGUGGUGGUGCCAGGCGGCCGCUUGUGCCACCCAGCGCCCUCAGGAACAGCCCGGCGGUGAUGAGGGCUCGGUGCCCCCUCAGAGCCACGGGAAGGGUUUCAGGUUCAUUACUGUGAACUUGAAGGGAAGGCAACAAAAGCUCUCAGAACUCUAAAAACUCCAGCUGCACCCACUGAAAAUGGGAAUAACUCCAGAGAGCCCUCCUCUGCCGAGGCUGUUUGAUAUUAUCAAAGAGCUGGUGACCAAUGGGUUUCAAAAGCUCCAGGCAUGUGGAACAAAAUCCUGGAGUCAUCCUUGGAAUGGCCUCAUUCCUCCAAGGACACAGUGACACAAAAGGUGAGAACCCCCUGUGCUCUACUCUGCCUCAGAAAUUGCACCCCAAAAUAACCUCGCCAAAAAUAACCUCCAGCCUGCCUUCCUUGUGAGAUAUAACCCCAAAUCUCUGUUUUUACCUUCUUCCAUGGGGAUGAAGAACUGGUGUUUUCAGUCUGUUUGCUGUUCCUGAGGUGGCCAAAAUGCUGCUGCUGGUGUUGGGUUUGUUAUUUUUUUCAAACUUAGAGUGACCACACACUUCCAUUUUGAAACGGACCUGUGAAACGGUGAAAAUGGCACCACAGGGCUUUAUUUUCACUGAGGCUGUACCAGGACUGGCUGCAGCCACUGGAGAGGAUAUGUGCCUGUGUUUGGAGGAAAUCCUGGGAAUCUUUACAGCUGCAUCUCUUUCACUGUCCCACAACAAAGGAACAACAAGAGAGGCAAUCCUGCAGGAAGGACAGCUGGAACACGUGGCUGAGAUACAACCUCCCUCUGGAUGGAGCUGGUUUAGGGCCUUACAGCACCUUCAACUUCCUUGACUAAACUCCCACAUGGUCAGUUAACAAGGAUGGAGAUGUUUCUCCUCCCUACAAGUCCUACAAAGUUGGAAAUUUGGAAAUUAUUUUGCAGGCUUGGAGGGAGAGUGGUGCUUGGUUUAUUUUAUCGUCACUGGUUGUGAUCUGUGUCCUUGUUCCACUGCAGUGUCAUGAGAUAAUUAAUACUAAAACACCUCUAUUUGUUAGUUUACAUGUUUCUCAUGCCUUUAAAAUCAGUAGAAGAGGGCUGAUGACAUUGCACAGGGGAAAACAAUUUAAUAAAUUCUUCUUGCAUCGGGAAUUACA
This 1353-nucleotide long non-coding RNA is filed under the name Lonchura striata (white-rumped munia). RNAcentral describes it as "domestica (Bengalese finch) lncRNA (ENSLSDG00000004877.1)". Lineage: Eukaryota; Metazoa; Chordata; Aves; Passeriformes; Estrildidae. The record is from RNAcentral.